UACGGAGGGUGCGAGCGUUGUCCGGAAUCACUGGGCGUAAAGGGCGCGUAGGUGGCCUGUGGAAGUCUGCGGUGAGAGCCCGGCGCUCAACGCCGGGUCGGCCGUGGAUACUCUCGGGCUUGAGCUUACUAGAGGCAGAUGGAAUUCCGGGUGUAGCGGUGGAAUGCGUAGAGAUCCGGAAGAACACCGGUGGCGAAGGCGGUCUGCUGGGGUAAUGCUGACACUGAGGCGCGACAGCGUGGGGAGCAAACAGG
RNAcentral lists this ribosomal RNA (254 nucleotides) under uncultured bacterium. Its description in RNAcentral is "partial 16S ribosomal RNA". It matches the Rfam family "Bacterial small subunit ribosomal RNA", at positions 524 to 776 of the family's 1533-position model. The record is from RNAcentral.